Long non-coding RNA from Protopterus annectens (West African lungfish), 8577 nucleotides. RefSeq lists it as uncharacterized. The record is from RefSeq and is a predicted model, not a curated record. NCBI's taxonomy places the organism in Eukaryota, Metazoa, Chordata, Ceratodontiformes, Protopteridae. The transcript is spliced from 2 exons.
CUUCACUAGUAAGAUUUGUAUGUAAACAGUUACAAGUUUUAAAGGGGGGGGGGUUCUUACUACUUUAGUCUUUUUCCCCCCUCAGGUGUCCCAAGAUUCCUGCACUUUGUAUCCUGUAUUGAUUUGAAGAUCAGGGGUCACUGCUAGAAGGCAGAUCCUUCUGAGGACAUGACUCAUCUACUUGUGUAUUUGGAGGACAGAGGUUUGUACAUACCUAAUAAGCAAGAGAUGUACACAGUUUUUAAAGGGGUGUGCCUUAUGCUAUGCUUCUUAGUAAAACUUGAAGACUUAACUUGGUGGUAGGACAGAGGUUACACAUUCUUAAAAAGAAAAUUUCCAGUUCACUCCCCUGAAGGCAUUUUUGGCACCUUUGCUCAUUAGGGCAUUAAAGGAGCAGAUAAACAAAGAUAUAUGUGUGACCAAGUUUUACAUUUUACUUUAUGGUCAGUCAUAUUUAAUCUAAUAUAGGGAGGUGUCUGUGAGGUUAAGCUUGCAUAUUUUGAAUGACUAAGCUUAAUGAAACCUCUUGUAGAACUUAAAUUGCAAAAAAAGCAACAGUCUUCACUUAAUGGGUGAAGCUGGUAUCAAUCUGUUACAUUGUCCAUCUGUUGCACAAGUAUUUGGUGCCCACUGCAGUCCAAGAAAAGAAAGAUUGAUCUUAAUCAACUUCGAAGUGCCAAUAGUUCUGCAUUGUCAGUCUUGGCUCAACAAGGUUAUAACAGGGUUUUCUUUUCUGCUCAAGAGUUCUGAAUUGUUAGUUUGGCAUAACAAGGUGUAACAGUGCUGCCACCAAGUUAAAGCAUAUUUUCAACACUUGGCGUAGAUUUGAGGGUUUUCUUCUUUUUUUUUUCUCUCCCCUUCAGCAAGUGCAUGUAAUGCUAGGAAAAGUAGGAAUUCUGAGAGACUGCAAGUGUUUGCAUUUAUACUGUGGGGUUGGACUUGAUUUUCUGUCUUUUUCUGAGGUGCAGGUAUUCUUUACCAAGCACUGUUAACUAGUGUUUUCAAGUACUUUGGAAGAAAAACAAGUAUUUUAAUGUUGCCUUCAAAUUUACAUGAGGGGUUGUAGGGGGAAUUUUCACUUUGUUUUAGUGUCCUAUCUAGGUGCAGAUGUUCGUUUCCUGACUUCCAUAUCUCCUGAUUUCAAGUACUGUGAAAGAAAAGUAGGUAUUUCAGUUGCAUCCUGGGGGGUACUAAUUUUCAUAUUUUAUCUUUUCCCCAGGUUUAAGUAUUUUUUUCACCAAGUAGUUUGGAAGAAAAGCAGGUAUAUCACGUGCUUCAAAUUUACAUGAGGGGUUGUGGGGGGAAUUUUCACUUUGUUUGUCUCUUAUCUAGGUGCAAGUGUUCAUUAUCUGGCUUCCAUAUCUCUUGAUUUCAAGUACCUUGGAAGAAAAGUAGGUAUUUCAGUUGCAUCCUUCAAAAUUUGCAUAAGGUUUUUUUUUGGGGGGGGUUCUAAUUUUCAUGUUUAGUCUUUCCCCAGGUUCAAGUAUUUUUACCAAGUACAUUGGAAGAAAAGCAGGUAUUUCACAUGCUUCAAAUUUACAUGAGGGUUGUGGGGGGGAAUUUUCACUAUUGAUUUUAGUGUCUUAUCUAGGUGCAAAUGUUCAUUUUUCCGGCUUCCAUAUCUCUUGAUUUCAAGUAUCUUGGAAGAAAAGUAGGUAUUUCAUUUGCAUCCUUCAAAUUUGCAUAGGUUUUUUGAGGGGGGGGUCCUAAUGUUCAUGUUUAGUCGUAGUAUUUUUUACCAAGUGCCUUGGAUGAAAAGUUAUUUUCUGUUCUUCAAAUUUACAUAAGGGUUGGAGGUGGGGGGAUUUUUACUUUUAUUGUUUUAGUCGCUUAUCUAGGUGCAAAUGUUCGUUUUUCCUGUUUCCAUGUCUCUUGAUUUCAUGUACGUUGGAAGAAAAGUAGAUAUUUCAGUUCCAGCCUUCAUAUUUACAUAAGGGUUUUUUGGGGGGGUUCUAAUUUUCGUGUUUAGUCUUUCCCCAGGUUCAAGUAUUUUUUACCAAGUACUUUGGAAGAAAAACAGGUAUUUCAGGUGAAAAACUGUCAAAUUUACAUACGUUGGGAGGUAACUUCAUAGAUGGAAGUAUCCUUGCUAAGCAAUUGUAAUUAGUGAUUUAAAACACUUUAGAAGAAAAGCCAGUAUUUUGAAUUGUAAAAUCUUCAAAUUUACAUGUGCAGUUGAGGUAAGACGCCAGCUUUCAUAACUAGUAAUUUCAAGUACUUCUUAAGAAAAUUGGUUAUUAAGAAUGGGGCUUUGGGGGGGGAUUUUUAUCUUUUCUUUUUUUUUUUUCUCUCCAGGUGGUUUAAAUGUUUCCCAACUCUCAUAACUGGUGAUUUGAACUACUUUGGAAGAAAAGCAGGUGUUUUUGUGUUUGAUUACACACAUUCACAUUUACAUAAGGUAUGUAGGCGGAAGUGUUUUCACUCAGCUCUCAUAACCAGUGAUUUCAAGUACUUUGGAAGCAAAGCAAGUAUUAUUUGUAUUACAUACUUUCAGAUUUAUGUAAGGGAUGUGGGGGUUAAAUUUAUUUACCCAGAUUGCAAGUGUUUUCACCCAGCUCUCAUAACCAGAGAUUUAAAGAACUUUGGAAGAAAAACAGGUGUUUUAAUUUUGUACCUUCAAGUUUACAUGAGGGGUUGGGGGGGGGGGGAUUUUCACUAUAGUCUUAUUUAUUUAUUUUUUGUCUUCAGGUACAAGUAUUCCCCAGCUCUUGUAACUACAGAUUUGACAUGCUCUUGCACUUAUGUAAAGCAACAAAGGUUGCAAACAUUUGUGGCAACUUUGUUGCUCAUUAAGGCAUUAAAAGAGCAGAUAAACAAAGAUAUGGAUUAGUGUGACCAAGUUUUAAUUGUACUUGUUUAUGGUCAAGCAUAUUUAAGCUAAUAAUAGGGAGGUGGCUGUGAGGUUAAGCUUGCAUAUUUUGAAUGGCUAAGCUUAAUGAAACGUCUUGUAGAACUUAAAUUGCAGAAAAAGCAACAGUCUUCACUUAAUGGUUGAAGCUGGUAUCUUAGUCUGUUACCUUGUCCAUCUGUUGCGCAGUUAUUUGGUGCCCACUGCAGUCCAAGAAAAGAAUGAUUGAUCUUAAUUAACUUUGACUCCAAACUUUUUUUUAGUGUCAAUAGUUCUGCAUUGUCAGUCUUGGCUCAACAAGGGUAUAACUGGGUUUUCUUUUGUGUUCGAGUUCUGAGUUGUCAGUUUGGCAUAACCUCGUAUAACUGUGCUUGCCACCAAAUUAAAACAUAUUUUCAACACUUGGCAUACAUUUGUUGAGGCUUCUCUCUUUUUUCCCUCCCGUUUAGCAAUUGUGUGUAAUGCUAAGAAAAGUAGGAAUUUUGAGAGACAAAUUAUUUUUGCAUUUAUAGUAUGGGGCUGGAUUUGCCACUUUUUGGCUUUUUCUGAGGUGCAGGUUUUCUUUACCAAGAACUGUUAACUAGUGUUUUAAGAACUUUGGAAGAAGGACGGGUAUUUUAAUGUUAUACCUUCAAAUUUACAUGAGGGGUUGAUGGGGGGGGCUGUCAAUUUAUUUUUUUUUGUGUCUUAUCUAGGUGCAAAUGCUCAUUAUCCAGCUUCCAUAUCUCUUUGAUUUUAAAUACCUUGGAAGAACAGUAGGUAUUUCAGUUUCAUCCUUCAGAUUUACAUAAGGGUUUGGGGGGGGGGGUUCCAGUUUUAGUAUUUAGUCUUUUCCCAAGGUUCAAGUAUUUUUUUCCCAGUACCUUGGAAGAAAAACUGGUAUUUCACGUGCUUCAAAUUUACUUUGGGGGGGGGUCACUUUAUUGUUUUAGUCCCUUAGCUAGGUGCAGAUGUUCGUUUUUCUGGCUUCCAUAUCUUUUUAUUUCAAGUACCUUGAAAGAAAAAUAGGUAUUUCGGUUGCAGCCUUUAAAUUUACAUAAGGGUUUUUUUUUUGGGGGGGGGGGUCUUAAUUUUCGUGUUUAAUUUUUUUCCCCAGGUUUAAGUAUUUUUUUACCAAGUACUUUGAUAAAAAAGCAGGUAUUUCAUGUACAAACCAUCAUAUUUACAUAAGAAUUUGAGGGGGGGUUAAUUUCAUAGAUGGAAGUAUCUUUGCUAAGCAGUUGUAACUAGUGAUUUAAAGCACUUUAGAAGAAAAGCCAAUAUUUGAUUUGUAAAACUUUCAAAUUUACAUGUGCGGUUGAGGUGUGACUUGCCAGCUUUCAAAACUUGUCAUUUCAAGUACUUUGUAAGAAAAUCGGUUAUUAAGAAUGGGGCUUUGGGGGGGCUUUUUAUCUUUUCUUAGUUUUUCUCCAGGUUUAACGUAACUUUGGAAGAAAAGCGGGUGUUUUUGUGUUUGAUUACACACCUUCACGUUUACAUAAGGUAUGUAGGUGGAAGUGUUUUCACCCAGCUCCAGUAACCAGUGAUUUCAAGUACUUUAGAAGAAAAGCAGGUAUUUGUAUUACAUACUUUUCAAAUUUACACAAGGGAUAUGGGGGGGUUUUAAUUUUCUUUAGUCUUUCCCCAGAUGCAAGUGUUUUCACCCAGCUCUCAUAAUCGGUGAUUUAAAGAACUUUGGAAGAAAAACAGGUAUUUUAAUUUUAUACCUUCAAAUUUACAUGAGAGGAUGGGGGGGGUUUCACUUUAUUGUUUUAGUAUCUUAUCUAGGUGCAAAUACUCGUUAUCCAGCUUCCAUGCCUCUUGAUUUCAAGUACGUUGGAAGAAAAGUAGGUAUUUCAGUUGCAAGCCUUCAAGUUUGCAUAAGGGUUUGGGGGGGAUUUUUACUUUUUUUUUUGUCUUCCAAGUGCAAGUAUUCCCCAGCUCUCGUAACUACAGAUUUGACAUGCUCUUGCACUUAUGUAAAGCAACAAAGGUUGCAAACAUUUGUGGCAACUUUGUUGCUCAUUAAGGCAUUAAAAGAGCAGAUAAACAAAGAUAUGGAUUAGUGUGACCAAGUUUUAAUUGUACUUGUUUAUGGUCAAGCAUAUUUAAGCUAAUAAUAGGGAGGUGGCUGUGAGGUUAAGCUUGCAUAUUUUGAAUGGCUAAGCUUAAUGAAACGUCUUGUAGAACUUAAAUUGCAGAAAAAGCAACAGUCUUCACUUAAUGGUUGAAGCUGGUAUCUUAGUCUGUUACCUUGUCCAUCUGUUGUGCAAUUAUUUGGUGUCCACUGCAGUCCAAGAAAAGAAUGAUUGAUCUUAAUUAACUUUGACUCCAAACUUUUUUUUAGUGUCAAUAGUUCUGCAUUGUCAGUCUUGGCUCAACAAGGGUAUAACUGGGUUUUCUUUUGUGUUCGAGUUCUGAGUUGUCAGUUUGGCAUAACCUCGUAUAACUGUGCUUGCCACCAAAUUAAAACAUAUUUUCAACACUUGGCAUACAUUGUUGAGGCUUCUCUCUUUUUUCCCUCCCGUUUAGCAAUUGUGUGUAAUGCUAAGAAAAGUAGGAAUUUUGAGAGACCAAAUAAUUUUUGCAUUUAUACUAUGGGGCUGGAUUUGCCACUUUUUGGCUUUUUCUGAGGUGCAGGUUUUCUUUACCAAGAACUGUUAACUAGUGUUUUAAGAACUUUGGAAGAAGGACGGGUAUUUUAAUGUUAUACCUUCAAAUUUACAUGAGGGGUUGAUGGGGGGGGGCUAUCAAUUUAUUGUUUUAGUGUCUUAUCUAGGUGCAAAUGCUCAUUAUCCAGCUUCCAUAUCUCUGAUUUUAAAUACCUUGGAAGAACAGUAGGUAUUUCAGUUUCAUCCUUCAGAUUUACAUACGGGUUUGGGGGGGGGGUUCCAGUUUUAGUAUUUAGUCUUUUCCCAAGGUUCAAGUAUUUUUUUCCCAGUACCUUGGAAGAAAAACUGGUAUUUCACGUGCUUCAAAUUUACUUUGGGGGGGGGGUCACUUUAUUGUUUUAGUCCCUUAGCUAGGUGCAGAUGUUCGUUUUACUGGCUUCCAUAUCUUUUUAUUUCAAGUACCUUGAAAAAAAAAUAGGUAUUUCGGUUGCAGCCAUCAAAUUUACAUAAGGGUUUUUUGGGGGGGGUCUAAUUUUCGUGUUUAAUUUUAAGUAUUUUUUACCAAGUAGUUUGAUAAAAAAGCAGGUAUUUCAUGGACAAACCAUCAGAUUUACAUAAGAAUUUCGGGGGGGGGGUUAAUUUCAUAGAUGGAAGUAUCUUUGCUAAGCAAUUGUAACUAGUGAUUUAAAGCACUUUAGAAGAAAAGCCAAUAUUUGAUUUGUAAAACUUUCAAAUUUACAUGUGCGGUUGAGGUGUGACUUGCCAGCUUUCAAAACUUGUCAUUUCAAGUACUUUGUAAGAAAAUCGGUUAUUAAGAAUGGGGCUUUGGGGGGCUUUUUAUCUUUUCUUAGUUUUUCUCCAGGUUUAACGUAAUUUUGGAAGAAAAGCGGGUGUUUUUGUGUUUGAUUACACACCUUCACGUUUACAUAAGGUAUGUAGGCGGAAGUGUUUUCACCCAGCUCUAGUAACCAGUGAUUUCAAGUACUUUAGAAGAAAAGCAGGUAUUUGUAUUACAUACUUUCAAAUUUACACAAGGGAUAUGGGGGGGAUUUUAAUUUUCUGUAGUCUUUCCCCAGAUGCAGGUGUUUUCACCCAGCUCUCAUAAUCGAUGAUUUAAAGAACUUUGGAAGAAAAACAGGUAUUUUAAUUUUAUACAUUCAAAUUUACAUGAGGGGAUUGGGGGGGUUUCACUUUAUUGUUUUAGUAUCUUAUCUAGGUGCAAAUACUCGUUAUCCAGCUUCCAUGCCUCUUGAUUUCAAGUACGUUGGAAGAAAAGUAGGUAUUUCAGUUGCAAGCCUUCAAGUUUGCAUAAGGGUUUGGGGGGGAUUUUUACUUUUUUUUUUUUUUUUUUUGUCUUCAGGUGCAAGUAUUCCCCAGCUCUCGUAACUACAGAUUUGACAUGCUCUUACACUCGAGUAGAUUUUUAUCAGUCACAAAAUUCAUUAAGGCAGAGUGGAACAAAGGGUUCAAAUCUGAUCAGCUUUGCCGAGGCCUUCCACUUGGAAAAUCUACAAAAGUACACAUUUUCUACCUGAGCUACAUACAAGAGCCUAGACACCCUUUCUUCUUUAUUGCAAUCUUGUGUUGGACUUUAAGCAAACCCCUUCCAUAUAGGUGAAAGUUACUGUAGCACUAAGUUUUAUCUAGUUGCCAUUUCAAGUGUUCAUGCCGGGUCGAAUUCACCUCUUCUAACAUCCCUCAAGAUUUCUAAAGCUUUCCUCAAAGGUACCUUUAAACUUUUAAAAAUGUGUAACUAUUAACUGGUGAAUAAAACACAUUUGAGAAAUCCUUUGUAGAGUUACAGAGCAAAGAUUUGAAAGUGGUGCAGUAAAGUACUACUUUGCAUAGUUUUCUUUUAACAUGAGUUUUUUGGAUACUGAACUUUAAAACAGGUUUACAACACUGUCAUAAUUUUCAAUGAGAAUUUUACAGUAUGAGACUACCAAGACUACAUGAGUUAAUUUGAAUGGCACAACAAAGAAAACAGAACGACUCUGGCUGCGAGAUGGACUGAGUGUGAAUGAGCUGAAAUAAUUGUGAGUGUCACAGAGAAACAUCUCACUACUUGGUUUGCAAAAUUGCUUCAUGGAAAAAAGAAAAGUGACUUAAACAUUCUGCAAUGUGGAAAAGAGAGCUGUAAUUACUUGUAACUGGUGUAUAUAAAUGGAUGUACAUAAUGUUCUAGCUAAGUACUGCAUUAAACAUACUGAAGUCCUGCACUCCGAAAGGUGGUGAAACAUUCAGUUUUCACGUUCAGAUGCCUUUAUACCCCUGCAUUCAGAAACUGUGUAUUAAAGGCAACAUCAGUCUCCCUCUCACAGCUGUUAAAACAUUGCUAUAUACAAAGUGCUUUUAAGAAUGCCAUUCUACCCUUAAAAGUUUGUUGAAUCUGACCCUUCCUUAGAAAAGGGAGUUUUGAUGAUAUGCAUCUGUUCACAAAGCACCAUUUUGUGAGGAAAGAAAUUGGAUAUUUUAAUUAUGAUGCAAUGAAAACUCAAAAGUAGAUGCAAUUUUGGGCAUGUGUUGCACUCCAAACGGAACUGUCACAUUUAAAUGUCUGUAAAUCUGAAUUAAUGAUUUAAAUGCAUUUCUGCAUCCCACAACAUUGGUAAUGUCAGUAAGUAAUGAAAUAUCUCUUAUUGGUAUGACAACUCAUAUCUACCAUGGACAUGACUGCAGUCAUUGCCCUGAAAGUAUUUAGUCUUGUAACUAAGAGCAAGGAGAAACUGUAGAAAUUAACUUGGCAGUUUUGUGUAGGCUUAUUUUUGGUUGCCAAUACAAGGUAAUCUGUGAAACAGUUAACAUUUUAGUGAAAUGUUUUAUGCAACAAACCUGGACAUUAAAUUGUAACAAGAGUUGUAUUAUUUGGUGCAGAUGUAGCUGUUUUUCAUGUUUGUUACGAGUGCCAAUUCGCAGUUCCUGAUCACCUUUUUAUGUAUGAAUAUUUGAGAUGCUUAGAAUGUUAAAUGUUUUAAAGCAAAUGUAUAGUGGCUUUAGUUCCUUACUAAAAAUGUUUAGGAUUUUGUGCAUUAUUAAUUUACCCAGUAAGAAAAUGAGAAAUGUCCAUGUUUAUAGCUGAACUUGAAUUUGCAGUAAGGAUGAUGUGAAGUUUACAAAGGAACAAACUGAAAAACAAAA